AAAAGUAAAUUAUUUUAAAAAAUUAAAUUUAAAAAUUAAAGAACAAUUAAAAAAAUAUUCAAAAAUUAAUCAAAAUGAAAGACAAAGUGCUUUAUAUCUAAUGCGUGAUAGUGACUAUGAGUAUGAAGAAGAAGAAGAAGAGGAACGAGUAGAAAAAAAAAAAAAAAGUGAACCAAGCAGGAAAUUAUUAGAUUCAUACAUAAUUAACACACAAAACUAUAGAACAUCUACUUUAAAUGAACAACAAAAAGAACAAAAAAUAUCAAUCACGAUGAGAAAUAGUAAUGAAGUCAUGAUUGAACAAACAGGUACAUCUAUUACAAGUGCAAGUGCUUCAGGUAGAAAAAGCCAAGAGCGUUUUUCUAGGUUAACUCAUUACAAUACUGAAAAAAAAUAUGAUAUAUCUCCACUAUUAUUAUCUAGUACUUCAGUGGUAGAAGGUAUGGGAAUAAUGGUAACUACGUGUGUCAGUAAACACAAACAAAUGUUUCAUAAGAUGACUAGGGAUGUGGAUGACGAUCUGACAGCGUUUGAAGUGUUAAUAAAUAGUUAUGCACAAAAUGUUAUUAUUAUUAUUAUAUUUUGUUGUUCUUUAUGUAUUUUGCUUAUUGUUUUACAUUUUUUUAUAAGUUUAAUAGAAAAUAGUAUGCAAACCUUAUCCUAUCAUAUAUUAAUUUUUUUGUUAAAUACACUUAUUUCUGAAAUACUGAAAUAUUUACUAGUAUCAAUCGAUCAAAUUCCUUUAUUGUUACAAAAUAAUAUAGCAUUCAAUUCGGAUAAAAUAGUAAAAGAAAAUUUUAUUAUAAAAAAUAAAAAAAUAUUUGAACGAGUUAUGUUUACAAAUACGAUAUUUAUUGAUAUAGAUAGAUAUAUAAAAUAUAAAUGUAUAUAUUUUUUUUAUAACCAUAAUUAUUCAGUUUGCUUUGAUUCCAAAUGGAGAUAUUCACAUGAUCAUGUUCAUACGGAUAGUUACAUGGAUAGUAACACAAAAGAUGAUUUUGUGUGUAGCAGUACUACAGAAUAUUUACCUAAAUCUAAUCCAACAGAUGGUUCUUCUUUUUUUUCUAAAAUAAAAAUAAAUGAUAAGAAUAUGAAAUUAUACAAUAGUAGUAUGUCCGAGUUUCAGUGUACCACACGACAAUUAUUUUUUUUGUUACUAAUUCAAUGUAUUUUUACAACUAGUAACUUAUACCAUUUUAAUGUGUAUUAUUCUUUAAUAGAUUUGGCUUUAUUAAAAUUUAUGAAUAACUUUAACAUAAGCUUGGAAAAUUUUUUUAUUUCUAAAAAAUAUGUUUUACAUAUAAUAGAAAAAACAAGUCAAGACAUGGUUGCAGCAUUUGUAUUGUUUAACUCUUCGCUGUUAAAUAAUGCUGACAAGUUAGGAGAUGAAAAAAAAAACAAAAACCAAGAAAUGCAAAGUUUAAAUGAUGAGAAGGACCGUUUACGCAGUGACGGUGCUAGUGCAAAAAACGAGAUGAAUGUUAUAAGGAUAUUUAUAAAGGGUAGUUCGACUGCAGUUUUGUCUAAAUGUAGUCAGUAUUUGGAUGGCGACAAGUUGUGCAGGUUCGUGAGUACGCAUU
Molecule: long non-coding RNA, 1580 nt
Organism: Piliocolobus tephrosceles (Ugandan red Colobus)
Lineage: Eukaryota; Metazoa; Chordata; Mammalia; Primates; Cercopithecidae
Source: Ensembl